Long non-coding RNA from Vitis vinifera (wine grape), 11637 nucleotides. RefSeq lists it as uncharacterized. Lineage: Eukaryota; Viridiplantae; Streptophyta; Magnoliopsida; Vitales; Vitaceae. The transcript has 3 exons. The record is from RefSeq and is a predicted model, not a curated record.
UCUGUAUUUCAUAUGUUCAUUAAUGAUAUUUUUCUUCUAAAAUGCUCAUUUUGUACCAUCACUUUUAUAUCUCUGAAUUACAUGGUAGGUAAAUAUUUGAUAGUCUUUCUUAUGGUUGUAGUAAGAUAGUGGUCACCAAAAGCAAGGGGGAACCAUCCAGGGAAAAAUGUUCAUGGAUGAGUGGGGAUUGCGUGUCAUCACUUAAUAUCUGGCUUUCUGCAAGCCUGUAAAAAUAUCUUGUACAUGCUCAAUAGUGCUGCUAGUUUUUGAACAGUAUAGAUGACAAUGAGUUGUUUUCAAGUAGCUUGAGUUUGGGCUGGUUUUCAUUGCCUAGCUGAAGCACCCUCUAUUUGCACCAAAUUAAUGCUUGUAACAGUUCAAUCUGAACCUGGCCCAUUAACUAGGGGCUCCAAGUCUGGGUCAAAAUUGCUAAAUCUAAUCAAGAGUCCUUAAAAAGAAGUUUGCUUGGGAAAGAGCUUCUACUCAUGAAUCCUCGAUAAAAUUGAAAUUAAGGCCUCCAAUGCCUCUAGGUUCUAAAAUGUGGAAUUUAGCUUUGUUUUUUGCUUGGGAAGCUAGAAAGCUUAGCAUGUUAUUCAACUUUCUUCUUAUAUAGUAAUGAAAUGCGCUCAAAAGUGGUGGAGGUCACAAUUAAUUCUAAUAGUUGGCAGGGGUUCUUUCUUGACUAAGGUGGUGUUUGUUUUUUUUCCUUAAUUCUAAAUAGAACUUAAAACUAAAUAGUGUUUAAUACUGUUAAGUAUUAGGUUGUUUGUGUUUGUAAUAUUUUAUUUCUAUUAAGCAUUAAAAAGUAAAGAAAAACUAAUAUAGAAAAAACCAAUAUUUUGUCCUUUUUUAUCCAGCCAAAAAUUUCUAGUAAGUCAUGAAAAAGUAGAUAAACAAACAACCUAAAGUUUGAAAGCAAAUUGUUUUUAGCAAAAAGUUAAAAAAAACAUAUACCCUAAGUCAUUAAAGACCAUUCUCACCUCACCUUAGCUCAUAGAGUGGGGUUGGUUUUUUGCAAAUUUUGGUGUUGCCAAUGCAAGCAUAAUGAAGGGUUGGCUGACCAUAUCCUUAACCAUUGUGGGACGCCUUGUUGUUUCUGUACUUGGUUAUUCUCCUUGUUUGGAGUCUCAUGGGUGCUUCCCCAUUCUGCCAAGUAGAUGUUACUGGGUUGGCAUGGGAAUUUCCUGUACAAAAGCUGCAAGAGGAUAUGGAAGUUGCCCCUGUUUGCUUGAUUUGGUACAAGGGUAGUGGUAUCGAAGAAUUGUUUAGGGCUUGGAACUUUUGGGAUGAUGAUGAAAAAUAUCUUCAUUAAGUUUUUCUUUACUUGGUCUCAUGAUUCAUUGGGGAUUGAUAAUGGUGCUUUUUUAGAUUUCAUUGACAGUUAAGAUGGCACAGUGCCUAUUUAUCUUCUUCGUCUUGUUGGUUUUUUUUAGGCACACUUGAUAUACUUCAUGCGUUCUUAGACUGCACUCCAUUUUUUUCCUAUGCACCUACUGAUAUAUCCUUGGUUUCCUAACAAGAAAAAGAAAGAGAAAGAGAAAACAAGAGAAGAAGAAGAAGAAUCCAUGAUUAAUUCCUAUAAGCAGCUUUAAUUCUGCAGAAAUAUAUACUGAUAUUUCCUACUAAAAAUUGGGAAAAAUGGGACUUUAAAAAUAAACUACAUGUAUGGAGUUGUCUGUUGGUUUCAAUUGGGAUACCUAUUAUGAACCCUCAAUGUUCUUAUUCGACAAAAUUUUCAUACAUUUUAGUGGGACAACACAAUUUUUUGACAACAUGAUUUUCUGGGUCAAAUUAAUUUGACUUUGCUAUCUAACCCCAAGUUUUUAAAGGCGUUUCUCGAGCACGCCUCAGGGCGAGGCCGGGCUAAAAUGCCUUGAGGCGUAAGAAAUAAAACGCGACUCUUGAAAGGCGUACGCCUUUUCUAGUGAGGUGUGACGUCUUUUAUGCUCCAAGAAGAAAGCGUACGCUUUGUGAGAGCUGAUGUGGCCAUAAACAGAAAUAAAAAAAAAAACCCUAAGUAAUCCCUAAAAUAGCAACCCAAGUCCCGAUUGAAAACUUUGGCAAACACAUAUUGGGAGAAAAGCUCAAAACGAAACCCUAUCUCAAGUGGCGACGGAGUGCUCAACCUCAGGCGGUGACCAACCGUAGUGCAUCUUCUCCGGCGACGAUCCCUCUCAUUCAUCUCCAGAAUGAGUUCCUCCGAUUUGAAAAAUUCAAGAAAAGAUUUUGUGUGGAAGUAUGUUGUUGAAGUUUCCAGGGAGCAAUAUUUAAGAUGUAAAUUUUGCAAUCAAAGAUGUGCGGAAGGGGUGAAUAGACUCAAGCAUCACUUAGCAGGAACUGAUCAUGGUAUGAAACCAUGCAACAAAGUUAGUGAAGAUGCUAGAUUGGAAUGCAAAGAGGCAUUGACCAAUUUUAAGGAUCAAAAAACGAAAAAAAAAUGAAUUGCUCCAAGAAAUUGGUAUGGAUCCAACUUCAAUGCAUGAGAGUGACUUGUCUAAAACAAUAGGGACAUUAGGGAGUGGGAGUGGGAGUGGGAAACCUAUUCCUAGGGGACCCAUGGAUAAAUUUAUCACUUCACAACCUAGACAAAGUACUUUGAAUUCAAAGUGGAAGCAAGAAGAAAGGAAGGAAGUGUGUAGAAAAAUUGGUAGGUUUAUGUAUUCAAAAGGUCUCCCAUUCAACACUGUGAAUGAUCCUUAUUGGUUUCCUAUGAUGGGUGCUGUUGCAAAUUUUGAGCCCGGGUUUAAGCCUCCAUCUAUGCACGAAUUGAGGACAUGGAUUCUUAAAGAAUAGGUGAAUGACCUAAGUAUCAUUAUGGAAGAUCACAAAAAAGCUUGGAAAUAAUAUGGAUGUUCAAUUAUGUCAGAUGGUUGGACAGAUGGAAAGAGUAGGUGUCUUAUCAAUUUUUUGGUGAAUAGUCCUGCUGACACUUGGUUUAUGAAAUCAAUUGAUACUUCUGAUACAAUAAAAAAUGGGGAAUUGAUGUUCAAAUAUCUUGAUGAGGUGGUUGAAGAAAUUGGAGAGGAUAAUGUUGUGCAAGUCAUCACUGAUAAUGCCUUUAAUUAUGUGAAUGCUGGAAUGAGGCUUAUGGAAAAAAGGAGAAGAUUGUGGUGGACUCCUUGUGCUGCUCAUUGUAUUGAUUUGAUGUUGGAGAAUAUUGGAAAGCUAAAUGUUCAUGCUACUACACUUUCUCGAGCUAGGCAAGUAGUGAAGUUCAUAUAUGGACAUACUUAGGUUCUUAGCUUGAUGAGAACAUUUACAAAAAAUCAUGAACUUCUUUGUCUAGCAAUUACACGGUUUGCUACUGCAUUUCUUACCCUCCAAAGUCUUUAUAAGCAAAAGCAAGCUCUUAUAGCAAUGUUCUCCUCAGAAAAAUGGUGUUCAAGCACAUGAGCUGAAAAUGUAGAAGGUGUGAAAACUCGAAGUACAGUAUUGUUUGAUCCAAAAUUUUGGCCUCAUGUUGCUUUUUGCAUAAAGACCACUGUUCCAUUAGUUAGUGUCUUGAGAGAGGUUGAUUCAGAGGAAAGACCAGCCAUGGGUUAUAUUUAUGAGUUGAUGGAUUCAAUUAAGGAGAAGAUUGCAUUUAAUUGUGGGGGCGUGGAGAGAAAAUAUGGCCCAAUUUGGAGAAAAAUUGAUGCAAGAUGGACUUUGCAACUUCAUCGACCUUUACAUGUAGCAGGUUAUUAUCUUAAUCCUCAAUUGCGGUAUGGAGAUAAGUUCUCUAAUGUUGAUGAGAUGAGGAAGGGAUUAUUUGAAUGCAUGGAUAAGAUGUUGGAUUAUCAAGAACAUUUAAAAGCUGACAUUCAGUUGGACUCAUAUGACCAAGCAAUGGGUGAAUUUGGGAGUCGUAUUGCAAUUGAUUCUUGAACAUUAAGAAGUCCUAUAAGUUGGUGAUGCGUUUUGGGGGUUCAACACCGAAGUUGCAAAAGUUUGCUAUUCAAGUCCUUAGCCUUAUUUGUAGUGCUUUGGGAUGUGAAAGAAAUUGGAGCACAUUUGAAUCAGUAAUACUUCUAUUUUUGUAAAUUUUUAUGCCUAUAUUUCUAUUUCAAUGUUAGUGAACUUUAUUUCAUUUUAACACAUAAAUUUGUUUCUUUUAUUAUUUGUAGAUCCAUACAAAAAAAAGAAAUAGAUUUGAACAUCAAAGGUUGAAUGCUCUAGUGUAUGUAAGGUACAACACUAGAUUGAGAGAGCGAAGUUUACAAAGGAAACAAAAUGUUGAUCCGAUUUUGGUAGAGGAGAUUGAUUCGGAUGAUGAAUGGAUUGCAGAGAAAGAAGAUCCCUUCCUCCCCCUUGAUCUUUGUUGGCUUCAAGAUAAUGAGUUAUUCAGUGUUGAUGCUAUUAGAGUUGUGUCAUCCAACUCCCAAGAGACUCAAGCAUCAUCGGAUCACAUGGUUUCUUUACAUUUCUACAAAAGGAAACAUAAUGAAGUACCAAGUACAAGUGGAGGCAAAGGCAAAGAGAAGGAGUUGAAUUUGACACCAAUUGUUGAAGAUGAAGAUUUACAUGAAAUGGGGAUACAUGAUUGUGGACAUUUUCCUACUAUUGAUACAUUGGAUGAGGAUGAUGAUGACCUUGGAGAGGAGGAUUUAAGUUGAAACAAUUUACUCUAGUUGUUAUUUCAUGACUUAGUUAUGGAUUUUUUGUAAAAGUUUAGAACUAUUAUUAAGUUUGACUCUAUUUUCUAUUUCAUGACUUAGUUAUGACUCUUUGUUAAAGUUUGAAACUAUUAGUAUAGUUGAAUCUAUUUUCUAUUUUAUGACUUUGUUGUGGUUUUUUGUGAAAGUAGGGAACUAGUAUGUCUUUUUUAUUUAUGAUUCUAAUGAAUUGUUUUCCUGUUUUUAUUUAUGCUAUUUUAUUUUAUAUAUUUUAAAAUAUUAAUUAAUUAUAUAAUGUGAGGCUUAAAAAGCUUACACCUCAACGCCUCGAGGCUUACGCCUCGCCUCACGAACACAAAAACAUCUCGUCUUACGCUUUCGCCUUUAAAAACUUUGAUCUAACCCACCUCAUCUUAUUUCAUCCUUUUCAUGUUCGUAGGGCUGCAUUGGAAUUAGAAUAUGCUGAGAGAGUACAGAUGGAUGGUUUGAUUUAUUUUGUGUACUUUAUGUUAGAAAGUUAGUUUGGUUAGAUUAGUUCAAAUUGGACUCAAAUUUUAGAAUGGAUAGGUUCAUUGAUUUGAGGAAUUUUAGAAUGGAUAGGUUCCUUGGUUUUUUUGUACGUAGUCAAAGUUUUAUUCAAAUUAGGAUUAGAAUCAGAUUUAUUUUUCAGUUUCCUUAUUUUUAGCCUAGGAAUUAUCCAUCUGCUGGUUAUUUAAACGGAUGUAGCCUGUGUUAUGAAGAUUAGAAUAAUAAAAUAGAAGUUUAUCCAAAAAAACCUUUCACAGUUUUAUGAUAUCAGAGCUAGAGAGAAAAAAAAAAGGAGAGUAGAACGAUGGUGAAGACUGCUAUGACUGGCACAACUCACAGGGAGGAAUCUGAUGCCUCAUAUGGGACUUCACAGCUACAAUUUCCAGCAACAAAUCCAGGCGGUACAGAGAAUCCAACCCAGCAAAUUAUGAUUCAUAAAUUAAAUGGACGUAAUUUUCUUCACUGGUCGCAAUUGGUGAAGCUGUUCAUCAGAGGAAAAGGAAAGUUUGGCUAUCUCACAAGCACCAACAAAGCACCUAAAUCAGAAGAUCCUGUGUACCAAACCUGGGAUUCUGAGAAUUCCAUGGUAAUGGUCUGGUUAAUCAACUCCAUGGAGGUAGCUAUUAGGCAGACCUACCUCUUUCUUCCUAUCGCCAAGGACCUCUAGGAUGUAGUCUAAGAGACUUAUUCAGAUCUAGGUAAUGCUGCUCAAAUGUUUGAAAUUAAGACUAAGUUGAAAGAUAUUAAACAUGGUAGUUAUAGUGUUACACGAUACUAUAAUAUCCUUCAAAAUGCAUGACAAGAACUUGAUUUAUUUUCUAUUAUGGACUGGAAGUGUGUUGAAGAUAGUGCCCAUUAUUGCAAGAUUCUCGAAAAUAAAGGGCAUUUGAUUUUUUGGUAGGACUCAAUAAGGAACUUGAUGAGGUUUGAGGUUGAAUCCUGGGAAAAGAGCCACUGCCAUCUAUAAGGGAGAUCUUCUCUGAGGUGUGACGGGAAGAGAGUAGGCGGAAAGUGAUGUUGGGAGAACAACAAUCUAGCCAAUUUGAGACUUCUACCCUGGUUAUUCAUGGUGGGGAGACUUUUCAACCAAAUGACUAGUGACCAAGAAAAAAGGGUGAUCGUCCUUGGUGUGACCACUGUAAAAAACUAGGCCACACAAGAGAUACGUGUUGGAAAAUCCACGGGAAGCCGCCUAUUAGGAGAAACCCGAGACCUGACCGCAAUUCCAAAGCCUACCAUAGUGAAUCCGAGAACCCUAACAACUAAAUAACCACUUCACCAUUCACCAAGGAGCAGUUAGAUGUCUUGCAAUAUCUCCUUAAUCCACACACUACAUCCACUUCUGUCUUAGGUUCACCAAAUGUUGAUCCCUCACCAUCUUGCUUUCUAGCAUAAUAAGGUAGAACUCAAUACCCAUUUAGUGCCUUAGUCAAUUCUUAUAAACCUUGGAUCAUUGAUUCCGGAGCUAUAGAUCACAUGACUUGGUCAUCCACUUCAUUUACAACAUGUGUACCAUGUGCUGGUAAUAUGAAAGUUUGAAUUGCAGAUGGGUCAUAUACCCCGGUCGUUGGAAAAGGAACCAUCUCCCUGACAAAAACUUUUUCUCUUGAAUUAGUCUUACAUGUCUCAAAUUUGUCGUGUAAUUUAUUGUCCAUUAGUAAACUCACUAGAGAUCUCAAUUGUGUAGCUAAAUAUUCUUCUACUGGUGUUGUUUUUUAGGACUUAGCUUUGGGGAGGACGAUUGGUAGUGCAUGUGAGUGUGAAGGUCUAUACCACUUUGAUGACCGUGAAGUUGUGCAAGGACAAGCCGCUGUUGCUGGUAGCAGUGUUUUAUCUUUACCUUUUGAUCAUGAAACGAUGUUAUGAUACUUGUUUCCAAAACUUUUCAAAAAUAAAAGGUUGUCCAAUUUUCAAUGUGAAGUGUGUCAAAUGGCAAAGCAUACCAGAUUAGUAUUUCCUGCUAAACCUUACAGGUCCUCUAAAUCUUUUACUCUCAUACAUAGUGAUCUUUGGGGACCAUCUCGGGUAACAGAUCUAAUUGGUGCAAAAUGGUUCAUUACCUUCAUCGAUAAUCAUUCAAGAAUUUGUUGGGUUUACCUCCUUAAAGAAACAUCUAAAGUCUUUCAAACCUUCAAAAAUUUCUAUUCAAUGAUCAAAAAUCAGUUUCAAACGUCCAUUACAAUUCUUAGAACCGACAAUGGUAGUGAAUAUAUAUAUGUUGUUCUUGGAGAAUUUUUAUCAAUUAAUGGGAUUAUUCAUCAAAAAUCAUGUGUAGAUACUCCACAACAAAAUGGAGUUGCCGAAAGAAAGAAUAAGCCCCUCUUAGAAGUUGCUUGGUCCUUAUUAUUUUCAAUGAAUGUUAGAAAAAUACAUUGGGGGGAUGCCAUUCUUACAGCAGCAUAUUUGAUCAAUUGGAUGCCCUCAAAAGUUCUUAAUUUUAAAACUCCCAUUGUUGUUUUUCUUGCUUCAUUCCUAGAUUCUUGAAUUUGCCAAGAUCUACCAAUUAAAAUUUUUGGGUGCAUUGCUUUUGUACAUGUUCAUUCACAUAAUCGUGUUAAACUUGAUCCUAGGGCUAUGAAAUGCUUAUUUUUAGGAUAUGCAGCAACUAAAAGAGGAUAUAGAUGUUUUGAUCCUGUUAAUUGGAAACUGUACAUCGCUAAAGAUGUAACCUUCUUUGAAUAGCAAUCCUAUUACACUUCGCUUCAAGGGGAGAAUUCUACUGAAGCUUCGUCAUGGAAAAUUCCACAAUCUCCUUUUCUGGUUCCUAAACUCCCAGCAACAAGUCCAGUGUCUACUCAAAUCUCUCCAUCCAUUCCUUUCGUUCGAUCAAACCCAACAAUAGUUCGAGUACAUGACAGAUUGUCAAAUGCAUGGGAAGAUAAAGCAUUGCCACCAACAACCCAGUCUACACCACAGUUCAAAGUCUGCUGAAGGAGGUGUAUAGUACCUGAUACACUCACACCUUGCCAUGAAGCCACAUCGGAGAUAGUGCUUGAAUCAGGUUUGGAUAAUUCUUCAUUCCCCCUCACAUUCCUUACUUCAUGUAGACCCAGUGCAUAGUGACUUAGAUCUCCCGAUAGCACUUAGGAAAGGUGUUAGAUCCUGUACCAUUCAUCCCAUAUCUAAUUUUGUCUCUUAUCAUAGAUUAUCCUCGUCUUUUUCUGCUUUUACCUCUCACCUUUCUUCCAUAGAAAUUCCAAAAAAUGUACAAGAAACAUUUGGUGAUCCAAGAUGGAAAGCAGCAGUUGUGGAGGAAGUCAAAGCUUUGAUAAAAAAUGGAAUGUGGGAACUUGUUACCCUACCAAAAGGUAAAAGAAUUGAGAUGUAAAUGGGCUUUUUCAGUAAAAUACAAAUCUGAUAGCUCGGUGGAACGAUACAAGGCAAGAUUGGUUGUUAAAGGAUUUACUUAGACUUAUGGGAUAGAUUACCAGAAGACUUUUGCACUGAUGGCAAAAUUGAACACAAUCCAAAUUCUUCUCUCUCUGGCUGCAAACUAUGAUUGGCCUUGUCAGCAGCUGGACAUAAAAAAUGCUUUUCUCAAUGGGGAAUUAGAGGAGGAGGUUUACAUGGUAGUACCACCAGGACUUGAACAAGGAAGUUCCAAUAAAGUUUGUCAAUUGAAGAAAGCUCUCUACGGUCUCAAACAAUCACCUCGGGCAUGGUUCGAAAGACUCUUAAGAGUAGUAAAACAAUAUGGCUAUCCUCAAGGACAUUUAGAUCAUACCAUGUUUUACAAAUCUACUGAUGAGGGUAAAAUAACUGUUCUCGUAGUUUAUGUUGAUGAUAUGAUUUUAAUAGGCAAUAAUCAUGUAGAAAUUGAAGCUUUGAAGAAGAUCCUAGCUAAGGAGUUUGAGGUAAAGGACCUUGUUGCACUAAGGUAUUUUCUAGGAACGGAGAUUGCCAAAAAAAAAAAUGGAAUCUCUGUUUCUAAAAAAAAUACACUUUAGACUUACUCAAGGAAACAGGGAUCCUUUGUUGCAAGCCCAACGACAUUCCGAUUGAUUCAAGACACAAGAUAGACCCGACUGAAAAAGGGGAUCCAGUUGACAAAGGAAGAUACCAACGGUUGGUUGGAAAGCUCAUUUACCUCUCUCACACUAGGCCGAAUAUUGCUUUUGCAGUAAGUACAGUUAAUUAGUACAUGCAUUCUCCAUAUGAAGUACACAUGAAUGUUGUCUAUAAAAUACUGCAGCAUCUCAAAGGAACCCCAAGAAAAGGACUUCACUUUGGAAAGCACGAUCAAUUCAAAAUAAAGGCCUUCACAGAUGCAGAUUGGGCGGGGUCUAUAGAAGAUAGGAGGUCAACAUCUGGCUAUUGUACAUUUGUAUUUGGAAAUCUUGUCACAUGGAGAAGUAAAAAACAAAAUGUGGUGGCGAGAAGUAGUGUUGAAGUUGGGUUUAGAUCGAUAGCUCAUGGAAUUUGUGAAGUCUUGUGGAUCAAGAGAGUAUUAGAAGAACUAAAGAUUACAAUUCAUCCUCCAGCUAAGAUGUAUUGUAACAACAAGGCAACUAUAAGCAUCUCCCACAAUCCAGUCCACCAUGAUUGAACAAAACAUGUUGAGGUGGACUGACAUUUUAUCAAGGAAAAAAUUGAGCAAGGGGAAAUAUGCAUGACAUAUGUGCCAUCCAAAAGCCAGAUUGCAGAUGUUUUAACUAAAAGGAUCCUGACAGAAGACUUUGAAGAUAAUGUGGACAAGUUGGGUAUGAUAGACAUCUAUGUCCCAACUUGAGGGGGAUUGUUGGGAAGUUAGUUUGAUUAGACUAGUUCAAAUUGGACUCAAAUUUUAGAAUGGAUAGGUUCCUUGAUUUGAGGAAUUAUUUGAAUUCUAGUUUUUUUGUACUAGUCGAAGUUUUAUUCAGAUUAGGAUUAGAAUCAGAUUUGUUUUUCAAUUUCCUUAUUUUUAGAUUAGGAAUUAUCUAUCUGCUGGUUAUUUAAAUGGAUGUAGCCUGUGUUAUGAAGAUUAGAGCAAUAAAAUAAAAGUUUAUCCAAAAAAACCUUUCAUGGUUUUACUUUCUGUGGUACCUUUUAGUGUGUGUAUAUUGGGGCAUGCAUGGUUUGUCUGUUUUCCUUUUUUUUUUUUUCUGUAGUCAAAACAAAAAGGUGUUAAAUUAAAAGUGUCCAGCAAAAAGGACACACAGAAUCCACCAAAGCCUCCUUCUUAAAGAGAUUUCUUCUAUAACUGAGAUUUCAUCUUCUCCCAUUCCAACAUUCAGAGGCCUAACCUUCUUUGUGAGCUGUUACAUUAAAUAGCCUAGUGAAACAAUCUUUCAGCAGUCUACUUUCACAUCAGAUAUCAUGCCAGAACAUGAUCUAUUGUCCAUUUCCAAUUGAUUAGAGCUUGUCCUUGAGAAAAAAAUUGUCACCCACCUUCAUGGGUUUUUCUUUCCAUUUUGCAUAAGAAAUUUUCUAAUAGCACUGAAAAGUUGUUUCUGAGAAUAAGUGCUUUUCUAGAGUAAAACCAGGGAAGUGCAUUCCUAGACUAAAACUUCCAUGCCUAGUGAACUUAUAGUUUGGAAAAUCAUAAGUGGAUAGUGUACUUAGAUAGUUUAAAAGGUAAAAUUUAUUUUGCAAAUUCAAUUCCCCUAACCAUUUAGAGUUCUAGUAGAAUUUAUUUCCUUUAAAAGGAAUUUUCGAAUUUGUCCCUCCCCGGAUGCCACUUUGGUGGCUCAUGCAAUGGGUAAUGACAUUUUCUAUUCUGGUAUGGAUUUACCUGUACGUCUAUAACGUUUUUUGUCCCAUAUAUAAAUGAUGGAACAUCCUUCUCAAAUUUCUAUAACAGUUUGAAAUGGAAUUCAUAUUAAUAUCUAUUACCUCUUUGUCCACUAGAAUAGUUUGGAACUUUGACCAUUUAGCACUUUAACCAUGUUUAAAUUAUUGUAGUUGGAACUGAUUGAACAAGCCAUAUAUCUUUAUUAGAUGUGUUGGAGGGUCAUUGGAGAUCAUGGUGGCAGGAUGAUCAGGGUGUGAUUGUAGCCUGUUAGUUCUAGGCUAGCUAUAAAAGUAGAGAGUCUAGCUUUAUGGAAAGGUUUUUUGGAGGUGAAAUCUCUGCGGUACUAUAGACUUCUUGUGGAAGGGGAUGCAGUUUUCUUUUGUUGGGUGUCUCUGGGGAAGGUCAUUUGGAGAUAGAAUGGAUGGAUUUGUCAAAUUUUGGUUGUCUUUAAAGAGAUGUGAUUUUCUUUUCACUGGAGGCCUAGAUCAACCAACCAACAGUUGAGUUGGCAAAGCAUGGAGCCUACCUGUUAAAAGGUUUUUGUAGGGAAUUUUCUUCCCAUUGACAGAUUUUAGAGUAUGAUACACUUUGGAAGCUCAUUUUGUUCUUUCUUUUGUACUCUUUCCUUCUUCGGUUUGAAGAACUGCUAAUCUUUGUAUCCUAUCUCUUGUUUUGAUGGUGAAAUGUUUAUUUCCCUAUUAAAAAAGAGGCAUAUAUAUUCCUUCAUAACAUCUAAUGUGUCUUUGCCAAUAAUUGUUUUGUUUCUUAUGCAUUACUAUUCUACCUAUGGUAAAUAAUUUUUUU